RNAcentral lists this ribosomal RNA (480 nucleotides) under Alteromonadales bacterium HD-I-03-8. Its description in RNAcentral is "bacterial SSU rRNA". It matches the Rfam family "Bacterial small subunit ribosomal RNA", at positions 76 to 556 of the family's 1533-position model. The record is from RNAcentral. Lineage: Bacteria; Pseudomonadati; Pseudomonadota; Gammaproteobacteria; Alteromonadales.
UAGCUUGCUAGNUCAUGACGAGUGGCGGACGGGUGAGUAAUACUUAGGAAUAUGCCUUUGCGUGGGGGAUAACUAUUGGAAACGAUAGCUAAUACCGCAUAAUGUCUUCGGACCAAAGGGGGCUUCGGCUCCCGCGCAAAGAGUAGCCUAAGCGAGAUUAGCUUGUUGGUGGGGUAAAGGCUCACCAAGGCGACGAUCUCUAGCUGUUCUGAGAGGAAGAUCAGCCACACUGGAACUGAGACACGGUCCAGACUCCUACGGGAGGCAGCAGUGGGGAAUAUUGCACAAUGGGCGCAAGCCUGAUGCAGCCAUGCCGCGUGUGUGAAGAAGGCCUUCGGGUUGUAAAGCACUUUCAGUUGUGAGGAAAGGUUAACGGUUAAUACCCGUUAGCUGUGACGUUAGCAACAGAAGAAGGACCGGCUAACUCCGUGCCAGCAGCCGCGGUAAUACGGAGGGUCCGAGCGUUAAUCGGAAUUACUG